RNAcentral lists this ribosomal RNA (311 nucleotides) under Bacillus sp. (in: firmicutes). Its description in RNAcentral is "bacterial SSU rRNA". It matches the Rfam family "Bacterial small subunit ribosomal RNA", at positions 1130 to 1440 of the family's 1533-position model. The record is from RNAcentral. Lineage: Bacteria; Bacillati; Bacillota; Bacilli; Caryophanales; Bacillaceae.
GUUGGGCACUUUAAGGUGACUGCCGGUGACAAACCGGAGGAAGGUGGGGAUGACGUCAAAUCAUCAUGCCCCUUAUGACCUGGGCUACACACGUGCUACAAUGGAUGGUACAAAGGGCAGCAAGACCGCGAGGUUUAACCAAUCCCAUAAAACCAUUCUCAGUUCGGAUUGCAGGCUGCAACUCGCCUGCAUGAAGUCGGAAUCGCUAGUAAUCGCGGAUCAGCAUGCCGCGGUGAAUACGUUCCCGGGCCUUGUACACACCGCCCGUCACACCACGAGAGUUUGUAACACCCGAAGUCGGUGGGGUAACC